Harpia harpyja (harpy eagle) is the source of this 4840-nucleotide long non-coding RNA. RefSeq lists it as uncharacterized. The transcript is spliced from 2 exons. The record is from RefSeq and is a predicted model, not a curated record. NCBI's taxonomy places the organism in Eukaryota, Metazoa, Chordata, Aves, Accipitriformes, Accipitridae.
AAUGUUCUCACUGUGUGGUCCGAAAUGUCCAUGAGAGAUUGGCUAUUAUCAAAACAUAUUUGAUAGGAACUUUGUUCCAAUUAAUGCAAAAUGUUUCAGCUGACACAUGAAUUGUCAUCUCUUACAGUGACUGCUUGUUAAUGAUCACAAAUGACUGUCCACUCUCUUGGAAGCAGACUCAUCUGUCUCUCUCUUAUGUAAGUGUGCAGCAGAGAGGCUGGGCUAGAGCAGUGCAGUAACGUUCCAAGUGGGUAACCAAAGUUAGAGGGAGCUGCUCAGCUGUGCAUUUCUUUUGGAGGAGGAUAGAUUCUGGAGCCAAACUUUAGUCCCCUCAUUUGAAAAUUUUGCCCUGCAUCUUCCUCUUCACUUUAGUUUCACCCUCAAAAUCUGGAAUCUGGAAAGACAUGGACUCUUCAUAGGUCGUGUGCAUCUUGAGCAAGCGUGCACAGCCACGUCAGACACCAAGACCUUGUCACAGGGGUAGGCACUGGACAAAGGAAGAAAGUUUUAAAGCCAUCAAGAGAUACAGUGUUAUAUUUUUAAUACUAAUUUCAAAACUCGGGUUGAAGUAUUUACCUCUGAAAAAGUGUUCUCUCCAGUUGUCGGACAAAAUGCUGGAAUUACAAGAUGAAAUUGUAUAGCCCACAUUUUAUAGGAGAUAGUGCAUAAUAUGCUCAUUUAGCCUUGAAAUCUGUUAAAUUGAUUAACUAUGUUAAACAAUAGUUUUAAAUCACUUUUCGCUCUUCUUUCAUCCAUGAGCACUGUCAAGGAAGAGCUUGGCAUUGAAAUAGCCAUUAUUUAAAUGGUGCCCUCAAGCACAGGAAGAUAUAUGAGAUGCAAAAGAUGUGUGACUCCAAAAGAACUUACCAACUUUGGACUGCUUUAUAAUUUCUUCAGUUUUUAAUGUGUGUAGCUGAAUGCAAAACUCAUCUUAUUCUCUGGGUAUGCCAAAUCAAUCAAGUGAAUGCUAAUGUCCUGCUAGCUCCAGCAAUUCAGCUGGAAUUGAACUAGCAAGAGACAAUGCCCAGAGCUGAGCUGACAUAAUUGUGAAUGGCUCCGAUGCACAAAUACAACAGAAAGAGAAUAGGAACUAGACAUUUUAAUGUCAACUCUCUUAGAAGCACAGGAAAAAAAAAAAUCAUCAUUGCUCAGAUAGAAACAGGAAAAAAAAAGCAGAGAGAGAGAAAUCUUAUUUUUCAAGCUCCCGAAGGAAAAAAAAGUGGAGAUCAAAAUAGAAUUCUAUCAGAAAGAAUGGGUUCUUAAUAGUCCUUUAAACUAAAAUGCAUGAAACAGUGAUGAAGUGAUUUUUGCUGCAUCUUUAAGGAGCUUGCUUUUGUCAGUCUGAGGUUAUUUGUAAAAGGGCCUCUGCAGAAAAUUAUGGUCUCAAAUUAUGUUUUUUCAGGCUCAGAUUGCAUAGGUAAGAAGCACCAUUGCGAGCAGCAGUGACAAAGAUGGCCCCGUGGCACACAGAGAAGCCAGAAGGGGAACGCUGCUCUUCAGGCGCUGCCUUGAUGUGAUUUACGGACAGUUUGUGGAGCCUAAGCACAGGACUAGGUUUGUGGCUUGGUUUACAGGAGUUCUGCUCCAGUGUCUUAGAAAAUCUUCUUUAGGCAUUGCCUCAGUUUGGUUACCUGCAACCUGGAGAUACACAAAAGCUUCUGGCAUGGUAUUUAUUGUAAAAGGGGUUAUGGUGAGUAAAUAGUUAUUGUUACUAGAUGGGAGGAUCUGUGAAGUUCUGUUGAUGUUAGCCCAAUAAGGGAAGAGGAGGAAGAGAAAGGAUGGAAAUAGCAGAGCAUUUGACAGGCCUGAAUGUCAGUAGCUUCCAUGAGAUGCUUUCUUGUACCAAAUGUUGGCAUCCCUUUAUUUCGUCAAGGAAAUUGAGGUUUUAAAGUAUCAGAUUCUCCAAGCAGACAUUUGCUUUCCUAUACUGAUGUUGAAACAGGAAGCUCCGGAGCUGUAUGUGCAGAAGCUGUGAUUUAGCAGAGGGGAGAUGUACCACGAACGUUGUAUGUCUCGUCCUGGGGUGGGCGAAGAACCGUUUCAUCUUUACCUGGUAGCUGAGGACCCAUGAAAGAGAGAGCUUGUUCUGUGUAGGAGGGGAUGCUGUCACUCUGGCACCGCGAUCAGAUGUAGAAGCUUUAUGCUUUCUGGUGAAGCAGGGAUGUAAGCAGUGCUAAUAGCGCAUGCAUGUGAGCAGGGAGCAGCAUACACUGCAGGCAAAAGAGGACAGCGCAUAGGGUCUGAGAUAUUGCUGCAUUUGAGAUCAACGUGUCAGAUUUUAGCCUCUUUCUCUUUCAAAGAGGUGUUGACAGUGUUGUAUUGUCUCGCAGGGCCUCAGCUUGGCCAGUCCUAGCGUGCUGUCUGGUUUCUUUCAGUUUAGUUUGUAAAUAGCAGGCUGUAUUUAGACUCCUGACUUGCACAGCCUUCUGUUACUGCAGCUACAGUGCUGCAGCCUUUAGCAGAGUCACUGCUGUCAACAACUAAGCCACAGCACUCCUGCGCUCUGCCUUUUAUUGGCCUUUAUGGAUCCCUUUAACAGAUACAAAAAUGCAAAGGUGCCACCGCUCCUUAGCACCACGGUAGUAUCUUCUACAGUGUGCCAGAGGCGUAAUCCUAUGGGAAGGUGCACCAGGAGAAGGGCACCUGGGGGAUCCCUGACCCUGCAACGCUCAGCGCUGCUCCUGGCUCCCUGCAGCGCUGGCAUCGAGGAUGGCAGUGGUGCAAAGUGAAUAUUUGCUCUGUUCACACCAGCUGCACCUCCUAUCAGUCCUUUGAUGGCAGGGAACAAGCCAUUGUCACUGUGGCUUGGGGCAGCAGGUACAGAUAAGAUGUCACAAUUCCUGAUUCCCAAGGGAACGAGGUCUCAGGUGGUAAAUACAGUGGGGUCUGUUGAGGGGCAAGGGAGGGGAUGCUACGUGCUGCAGAGUCUUCUCUGUUCCCCCCUCAUUUCUAUAGAAAGCUUCCAUGUACUUCAUACUCUCUAUGUGGGACUUUUUUUUUUUUAAUAUGUGCAAUAUCUAACGUGCUCAUAAUUCUGAGAGUACACUCAUAGUUUCAAAUGUUAAUAUGCUGAUACAUGGAUAACGGUGCCCUAGUUCCCACUCAUAUCUAAACGUCUACCUUCAGGUAAGAAUAAGGCAGUAGCUGAUUGUUACAACUUCUUUCAUCUGUGCUUAAUUUUGCUAGCUCAUUAUUCUGAGGAAUUUUUCUUGAGAAAAAAAUUACACGCUUAGGUCAGUUAUAUCAGUACAAGAGGCUGUGAAGCUGCUAUGAAGGAAUAGAAAAAUCUCUUUAGGAGCGCGAAUUGUCAGUGAUGUACAGUAUCUAUUCACACUCUAAAAGAUUGAAUUAAAAGUGAUAAUUAUGUGCUGUUUUUGCUGCUUAAGUGGUUUAAUGCCAUUAUGACUGUGCUACUUAAUGGAAAAGCUUAGAAUCAGACUAGCAUGGGAAUACUAAAAAUUUUAAUGGAUUUUUGCUCAAGUCAUUCUUCCUAUUAGGAAACAAACCCACCAAAAUAUAUAACUAGGUCUUUGGAUUCAAUUAUUAAUCCUCUCUCCUAAUUUGAAGAGCAAAAUUAUCACUUAACAGCAGUUCUCUGAAAUAGAAUUUUAAUGAUACUAGUCAUCUCAUAGUUGAACAUGAUUUUUCCCGAUCAGAACAAAGUUAGAUGAUUCUCAGUGCUGAAUCAGUUUUAAUUAUUAAUCCUAAGCAGUUAAAAUAUAUACUGUCAACAGCAUGUCUUGAACAUCUGUCAAAGAAGCUGUCAGAAAUGUUUUCAAUGGCUUCUCGUGUGUUAGCUGGCUUCUCUGCAUGAGGUGAAGGCUUUGGAACAUGGUAAUUGGAAUGGGAUUGUAGAAAUAAUGUAUAGGAAGAGAACUACGCCAUACACUUGGAAGGAUUCUUAUGGGCUGAUCCUGACAUUUUAUAGUUCUAAAACAAAUCUGAUGGGCUUCAUCAUAAUGUGAUCCUGUCUCCCCAAGGAAAUUUGCAGUAGUUUAGGUGAAGUGCUUGUUUUGACCAUGAAAUGAGAAGAGAAAGCAGGCAGAAAACUGAACAGUUAUGGGUCAUCCUUUUAUAGGUUGGUGCUAAAGCAAAUGGAUUGAGGUAUUGAGGUGGUGUAACUUGUGCUACUUGAAUGUGGAUGGAGAUAUUCGUGGCUUAUAGGGAUGUGCUAUUGGUUACAACUGCUAUUGCAAAUUCAAAAUCAGAAAUAAUCCCUUGUAGAAGUUCUGCAAAACUUCUCUAGGAGGAAUACAGAUAAAGGUGGGAAGACCCAGUUCAAAAACCCCUUCUCUUUUCAUGAUUAGCCACAUGUUUCCAGUUGUUCAUGCAUCUGAUUAUUCCCUGGGUUUUUUUAACAUCCCCUCUGAAGACUAUAUAAACUCAGGGGGGAAUUUUCCUCUGUGGUGUUAACUACCAAAGCUGCUUUGUUUCCAGUGUCUCAUGGCAACUAUUUGUGCUUUUUGAUUCGUAGCCUAGAAAACUAAAUUAGCAAUUAUUCUACAGAAUGCAUGUUAUUUGGGGCAACACUAAUUUGCCAGGAGCAACUUCUUGACACAUCUGAAAAUCACGUCACCUCUUUAGGCCAGCAAAAUGUCAGUCCUUUCUCGCUGCUACUGUUCCGGUGUUUUAUACAACAUGAAUCAAGUUGAUACUGACCAAGAGGCUUCUUUGGCCUGUUAGCAGUAGUAAACUUCUGGGCAUUCGUGACAGAAUACCCAGUGUUACAGCUUGCUGAUCUGUUUAGAUUAUUGCAUAUUUUUCCUUUUCCAUGUAUCUGUAUUUUGUUUUGCCUCUUUCCAGGCUUUAAUGACAAAUAAAAAGGCGUAACAGACUCAUA